Molecule: ribosomal RNA, 253 nt
Filed under: uncultured bacterium
Lineage: Bacteria
Description: partial 16S ribosomal RNA
Rfam family: Bacterial small subunit ribosomal RNA
Source: RNAcentral
UACGGGGGGGGCAAGCGUUGUUCGGAAUUACUGGGCGUAAAGGGCGCGUAGGCGGCCAUCUAAGUCAGACGUGAAAUCCCUCGGCUCAACCGAGGAACUGCGUCUGAUACUGGAAGGCUUGAAUCCGGGAGAGGGAUGUGGAAUUCCAGGUGUAGCGGUGAAAUGCGUAGAUAUCUGGAGGAACACCGGUGGCGAAGGCGGCAUCCUGGACCGGUAUUGACGCUGAGGCGCGAAGGCCAGGGGAGCAAACGGG